AGCAGCCGCGGUAAUUCCAGCUCCAAUAGCGUAUAUUAAAGUUGUUGCAGUUAAAAAGCUCGUAGUUGAAUUUUAGGCCUGGCCGGGCGGUCCGUCUUUGGCGAGUACUGUUCUGUGUCGGGUCUUACCUUCUGGUGAACCGGCAUGUUCUUUAUUGAGUGUACCGGGGAGCCAGGACCAUUACCUUGAAAAAAUUAGAGUGUUUAAAGCAGGCAUUUGCUUGAAUAGAUUAGCAUGGAAUAAUAGAAUAGGACGUUGGUUCUAUUUUGUUGGUCUAGGACCACCGUAAUGAUUAAUAGGGAUAGUUGGGGGCAUUAGUAUUCAAUUGUCAGAGGUGAAAUUCUUGGAUUUAUUGAAGACUAACUAUUGCGAAAGCAUUUGCCAAGGAUGUUUUCAUUAAUCAAGAACGAAAGUUAGGGGAUCGAAGACGAUCAGAUACCGUCGUAGUCUUAACCAUAAACUAUGCCGACUAGGAAUCGGGCGACGUUAUUUUUAUGACUCG
Molecule: ribosomal RNA, 502 nt
Filed under: uncultured cf. Archaeosporaceae
Lineage: Eukaryota; Fungi; Glomeromycota; Glomeromycetes; Diversisporales
Description: SSU rRNA
Rfam family: Eukaryotic small subunit ribosomal RNA
Source: RNAcentral